RNAcentral lists this small nuclear RNA (168 nucleotides) under Dasypus novemcinctus (nine-banded armadillo). RNAcentral describes it as "U1 spliceosomal RNA (ENSDNOG00000028566.1)". It matches the Rfam family "U1 spliceosomal RNA". From Rfam's summary of the family: U1 is a small nuclear RNA (snRNA) component of the spliceosome (involved in pre-mRNA splicing). Its 5' end forms complementary base pairs with the 5' splice junction, thus defining the 5' donor site of an intron. Lineage: Eukaryota; Metazoa; Chordata; Mammalia; Cingulata; Dasypodidae. The record is from RNAcentral.
ACACUUACUUGGCAGAGGAGAUACAUCACACGAUCACUAAUGUGGUUUUCCCAGGGGGAGGCUUAUCCAUUGCACUCCAGUUGUGCUGACCUCUGUGAUUUCACAAAAUACAGGAAACUCAGCUGCAUAAUUUGUGGUAGUGCGGGACUGUGUUUGCGCUCUCUCUUG